This 387-nucleotide unclassified non-coding RNA is filed under the name soil metagenome. Its description in RNAcentral is "partial contains 5.8S ribosomal RNA, internal transcribed spacer 2, and large subunit ribosomal RNA". The stretch from base 1 to 122 matches the Rfam family "5.8S ribosomal RNA", at positions 35 to 154 of the family's 154-position model. The record is from RNAcentral.
GAUGAAGAACGUAGCGAAAUGCGAUAAGUAAUGUGAAUUGCAGAAUUCAGUGAAUCAUCGAAUCUUUGAACGCACCUUGCACCCUUUGGACUGCUCCAAAGGGUAUGCUCGUUUGAGUGUCAUUGUACUCUCACACUCUCUGAUCCUUUGGAUUUGGGGAGCGGUGGACUUGGGUGCUUGCUGCUUCCUUGUGGCUCACCUGAAAUGCAUCAGUGCAUCUCUCGAUUGGACAUAGCACGGCGUGAUAAGUGUCUUCACCGGCACCUCAUAUGAGGGUGGCCGAUCGGGAGCUCUGUGCUUUCAAACCGUCUUCGGACAACGCUGACAACUUGACCUCAAAUCGAGUAGGACUACCCGCUGAACUUAAGCAUAUCAAUAAGCGGAGGA